UGGGGAAUAUUGCACAAUGGGCGAAAGCCUGAUGCAGCAACGCCGCGUGAGGGACGACGGCCUUCGGGUUGUAAACCUCUUUUAGCAAGGAAGAAGCGAAAGUGACGGUACUUGCAGAAAAAGCGCCGGCUAACUACGUGCCAGCAGCCGCGGUAAUACGUAGGGCGCAAGCGUUAUCCGGAAUUAUUGGGCGUAAAGAGCUCGUAGGCGGUUUGUCGCGUCUGCUGUGAAAACCCGAGGCUCAACCUCGGGCCUGCAGUGGGUACGGGCAGACUAGAGUGCGGUAGGGGAGAUUGAAACUCCUGGUGUAGCGGUGGAAUGCGCAGAUAUCAGGAAGAACACCGAUGGCGAAGGCAGAUCUCUGGGCCGUAACUGACGCUGAGGAGCGAAAGGGUGGGGAGCAAACAGGCUUAGAUGACCCUGGUAGUCCA
This 431-nucleotide ribosomal RNA is filed under the name uncultured bacterium. RNAcentral's name for it is "partial 16S ribosomal RNA". It matches the Rfam family "Bacterial small subunit ribosomal RNA", at positions 355 to 797 of the family's 1533-position model. The record is from RNAcentral.